RNAcentral lists this ribosomal RNA (472 nucleotides) under uncultured organism. RNAcentral's name for it is "partial 16S ribosomal RNA". It matches the Rfam family "Bacterial small subunit ribosomal RNA", at positions 334 to 797 of the family's 1533-position model. The record is from RNAcentral.
CACUCCUGCAGGAGGCAGCAGUGGGGAAUUUUGGACAAUGGGCGAAAGCCUGAUCCAGCAAUGCCGCGUGAGUGAAGAAGGCCUUCGGGUUGUAAAGCUCUUUUGUCAGGGAAGAAACGGUGAGAGCUAAUAUCUUUUGCUAAUGACGGUACCUGAAGAAUAAGCACCGGCUAACUACGUGCCAGCAGCCGCGGUAAUACGUAGGGUGCAAGCGUUAAUCGGAAUUACUGGGCGUAAAGCGUGCGCAGGCGGUUUUGUAAGUCUGAUGUGAAAUCCCCGGGCUCAACCUGGGAAUUGCAUUGGAGACUGCAAGGCUAGAAUCUGGCAGAGGGGGGUAGAAUUCCACGUGUAGCAGUGAAAUGCGUAGAUAUGUGGAGGAACACCGAUGGCGAAGGCAGCCCCCUGGGUCAAGAUUGACGCUCAUGCACGAAAGCGUGGGGAGCAAACAGGAUUAGAAACCCUAGUAGUCCCA